CUGAUUACGUCAAAGGGUGCCCACACUAAAUCCAAGUGAGUUCAAAUUGGACCAAGUUAUGAAGCCGCCCGACAACCUUUACACUUGCCAUCACUCCACAAAACCUUUUAAUAGCAAGGAGAAUUGCAACUAACAUGCAUCAUCAAUGUUGUGAACUCCUUGUGGCCAUCACUGCUUCCUCGGUCCUCGUGGUCUGUUGCUUCCUCCAGCUUCGGUUCAGUAAUACAGAGCUCGAUCCCCCUCUUCACCGCCUCACUCUUCAAGGGUGCAGGGUUUCGCCGUGUAUUCCUUCAGGAAAAUCAUUUGACGAGCAAGGCUUUCAACUGAGGUGCGUCAUCCUUCAUUUUUCCGGCUUACAAGCCUUCCAUCGAAACAUUGUUUGUGCGCGUGGAGGUGUGGUGUUUUUAUGUUGUGGUGGAGUUAUCGCCAAGCUGCCAAGCAAUGACAAGCGCCGGGAGAAGGAAUAAAAAAGACUUGGAAGGCUUUGUACGGUAUGCUUGUCCGUGCUGUGAGCGCUAUGUUGCGCUGUCGGUUUGCCUGUUAGGUUCUCCUCUGAGUGGGUUUCCUUUUUGGUGACGGAGGUCGUGGUUUCAGAUAGCUUGCGAAGGUAGGAUCAUUGUUUGAUUUGAAGGAUUUGGAGAUUGAAGCAGAAUGGGAUUCCUGUUUUUGCACUUAUUUUUGGAUUUUGUCUAUGGUGUUGGACGAUCUGUCCGGCAUAAUCUGCCGCUAUUGCAGCAGCGGUUGCAGCUGCAACUCUAUAUUCCGCUCUCCUCGUCACGCUAGCUAAUCAAUAACCGUUCGAGUGCGUGUCUGGUUCGUCGGUGUGCAUUGGAGGCUGUCUUUGACUCUUUCUUUAGUGAUAAAGGCUUGGUUCCAGCCUUCUGAUGUAUGCAUACAAUCUGGACUUAUUCUGCAUGGUAGCUUGAGUGUCGUGGUGGUGGAGUUAAGAUGUGAUAGCCAGAUAAUAGUCUUCGUUUUCAUUUUCCCCCUGGUGGUGUCAGCUAAGUAAGUUGUGCUGGGGUACGUAAGAUCGACAUUCUGCUUUCUGCGUUGCUGUGAAUGUGUUUCUGCUUCCAAGUCCGAUUCCAGUUUCUUCCCCUCCCACGUGGUUGGAAUCGCCAUCGGUGGUAGUUGGUCCCACCGACUGUUUCGAUACUCUGGUCACUGUGUGCAGGGUCUGUGAGUCCUCCAAACCUACAUCAGUACCGCGUCACCCCCUUGGCGAUGCUUUACGUUUCCGACAGCGCCAAGUUUUGCUAUUCUGAGUGUUUACACGGCAUUGGUCCUUUGACACUGCACACAUUUGUGGCUGAUUUGUAAGCGUACUCUCAAACUUUUCAAAUGUGCUCUCUCUCUCUUCACUGUCAUGAACGCGCUUCCGGGCUGCUGCAUACCAGAUAGAUUGAAGGCCGUGGCCAACCUCUUUCCAACAAGAUCUACACAUUUUCCCCGUCAAAACCUUCACCCUGCGCGGUAAUCUGGGACAGUGCGCUGUCUCUCAUGAUCACUCUUUUCUAUCAAGCUUCAAUCUAUCGACGUUUACCUGUGGAUACCUCGCUCAUACCCACAUGCACCUGUGCAGUGAGGUCCAGGUCGCGGAAGUACAAAGCUAAGCCGUCGAGUCUGUCGGUUCACAUUAGUAUGAGCAAGCGGAAAUCCAAGGACAUCUGAGAACAGAGUAUACAAAUCGAAGUUUGACACCGUCAUAAAACAACUCUCAGCACUUUUUCUCCCAAAUCCGACAUGUACACCAGAAGCUGUAUCUGCUGGUUUCGACGCUUGCAAUAUGGGAUCGGCAUAAGGCAAGUAACACGAAACAGACUCCGCGACAAUGGCUUUUCUACCAUUCAGGCGACAUCGACUCUUGCACAUGCUUAGGGCAAUGCCAUCAUCGACAAUCAGACUCGCCCGGGGUGCAUCGUGCGUCGGCUGAAACAAAAACAGCAACUACCGUCACAAGGGGAACAAGCCGUAUAUUAGCUCUGAAAAGAACGAGCUUCAUCGAUCUUAGUGGUAUGGUGUGUAAUCAGCUGGCCGAGACCAUCAAGAGUAUCAAAUGCACUUUUAAUCAUAGGCUCACACACUUCAAGCGGACAGGCAUUGACGAAAUAGCCGAACCGAGGAACAGAAACCACGGAGUAAAAGAAACGAUCUCAACAAUUAAACAACACGACUCAAUCAAGCUGAAUUCCCCCGACAGAUCUCGAAGCGAUGUAGCCAAGCCAACCAAGAUUGUUAGAUGAAAGUUGCGACCUACAGUUUGUAUGGACGUAGAUUAGGGCUUCUAGUGGUUUCUCGAAAUGUGCCAGUUGGAUAAAAAGUUUGAAGGAUGUGGAGGUGCAAACUCCCUUGAAUGAAUUAUAGUCAACUUUGGAUGAGCACGUUCAUCGAGAAUGCACCAGGCACAAUUUAUUAUGCCUGGUGCACAAUUACUGAUUACCAGAUUCAUACUUUGUUUUAUUAUGUGGUUGAUGUUGUGAUGUACAAGAUGUCUACAUGGUUUCGUUUUAAUGAAACAUGAUCUAUCUUUGAAUGAAUUGAUGAUUGAUAUA
Physcomitrium patens is the source of this 2552-nucleotide non-coding RNA. The record is from RefSeq and is a predicted model, not a curated record. Lineage: Eukaryota; Viridiplantae; Streptophyta; Bryopsida; Funariales; Funariaceae.